UUGAUUAUCUUUUUUGAUGGACAGAAGUUUAUCUUGAGGAAGUCGUAUUUAUUUUUGGCCUGUGCUUUUGAUGUCAUAUCUAAGAGUUUUGUGGUGUUAACUCUUAUGUUUUAGAUUGUUGAUCCACUUUAAAUUGAUGUGUGUAUUAUGGUGUGAGGUGGGGGCUCCAGCUUCGUUCUUUUAUAUGUGGAUAUCUGUUAAUCCCAGUACCACUUGAAGACGCUUUUUUUCUCCGUUGGAAUCAUUUGAUAGCCUUUAUUGGAAAUCAUUUGGCCAUUGAUGUGUGAGCCUAUUUCUAGACUCUGAAUUUUGAUCCAUUUGUGUGUGUGUGUGUGUGUGGGGGGGGGGGGUCCCUAAUUCAGUACCACAGUUNCAGUUUUUAUUGAGUUUUAUAAUAAGCUUUGUAAUAACUUUUGAAAUCUGGAAUUAUGAGUCCUCCAAUUUUGGUCUUCUUUUAACCCUUUGGCUGUUAGGGUACAUUGACUUUCCAUAUGAAUUGUAGAAUUGACUUCCAUUCUGGAAAAAUAGCUUUUGGAAUUUCGUUAAGAAUUGCAUCAAUCUGUAAGUCACUUUAUUGCAGUAUUGCCAUUCUUAAUAUUGUCUUUCAGUUUAUAAACACAUGACGUCUUUUUGUUUAUUUUCUUUAUUUUAGAAACGUUUUCUAGUCUUCAGUGUAUGGUCUUUCACCUCCUUGGUUAAAUUUAUUCUUAGGUAUUUUAUUCUUUUGGGGUUUGUAACUGGAAUUGCUUUCUUAAUUGUUAGAUUAUCUAUAAAUAGAAAUUGUUCUACUACUUCCUUUCCAUUUUGGAGGCUUUAAUUUUUUCUUGCCUGAUCUGAAGGGUGUUGAAUUUUGUCAGAUGCUUUUCUGUAUUGAGAUGAUCAUGUGUAUAUUUCCUUCAUUCUGUUAAUGUGAUGUAUUAAUAAUGUUGAGCCAUUCUUGCACUGUGGAGUAGACACACACAUCAUUUCACAUAAUAAUCCUUUAAACCUGCUGCUGAAUUCAGCUUUCUAGAAUUAUGUUGAGUAUUUUUGCAUCACUGCGUUCAUGGACACAUUAUCUGGAUACUAAUGCACCAUUUUUGGUGACAUCAUUACUGGGUUGAUCCUUUGAAGACAUGAAAACAGGUUCAGAGUGAUUAGUGACUUGGCCAAUGACCAGAAUUAGGAGCUGAAAGGGAAUCACAGGAGUCACUCGCAACUUAGCCUAAUGUUCUUCCAGGCAGGGGACCCAAAACCCUGAGUUUGGCUUAAUUUACUCCUGCAAUUGGAAUUGUUUACAUGAAUUGCAUUUCUUUCAGACAUGGGCCUAAGAGAACAAAAACAGACUGAAAGACAGUGAUUUGCUGGGAGUGAAACCGCCUGUGUCGGUAGUGCCCUAAAGCGGGCUCGUGCGGCACUUGUCUGUCCUCCUGCUUGCUCCAAGUUGGGGGCCGAGAGGUGGGUUUAUUUUUAAAAUGUCUCUGUGUGUAUGUGUUUGGCAAAGUACAACUCCCUUUAAAACACUCUGGGUUUCCUGUAAAACCUUCUAGAGUUCUCUGAAUGUCCUUUAAAGGCUAAAUGGUAAUUGACACGGGCCUCUCUCUAAUGGCAGCAUACUUUCUGGGAAGACUCUUUUUGCUGAGAAUUUUCUACGUGCUGACCUCCCCUGCAGCCUUAAAGGGCUCUAGCAGUCGCAGUCUUGAUCUGGUCAGUUUUUCCUCUGGGAAUCUUCAGCUUGCUGCAGAGGACCCACCCUUACAAGUCCCAAGUCUCCUCUGUUUUUGCUGAACUCUUCUUGGAAACUGAAGAGUUUCUUCUCUGUGUCUUGUCUCUUCCCAUGCCUCAUACUCAGCUAAAUCAGCCAACACUUUGAACAUUUCUUGGAAACUUUUUUAGCCAAAAGUACAUGUUACAGUUUCGCUACUAAAAGACCUAAGGCACCACCUUUGCAGCUUCCACUAGCAGUUGACUUUCCCAGCCCUCACGGACAGCUAGUUCCCUGUUCCCAGCUUUCCAAGCAGUGCAAAAUAUCCUGGGGUUUUGUUAGGUCAGCACCUCAUUCUGGGUACCAGUUUCUGUGUCAAGUAUGCUGUAACUGCUCAUACCAAAAGCAGUGGCUUAGAAUAACAUUUAUUUACUUGGUGCGUCUGCAGUCACCUGUUGACUCUCCUCAGGCUGGAUGCUCCCUGACAUGGCUCAGGUGGCUGGCGCUGCAUCAGGGUCAUCAGGGACGCCGCAGCUCCUCCUGUGUCCUGUCUGAGCCCCCUGGGUUUUCACACAGGUAGCAGUAUUCCUAGGAGGGGGCAGCAAAGUCAGAAGCCAGGAGGUCAGAGUGGGCUACUUGUGCUGCAGGCUUCUGGUCACUGAGCCAACUCAGAUUCAAAGUGUAGGAGCAGCUGCAAGUAUACAUACAUAUGUACAUACGUACAUGUGUGUAUCUUUUUUAAACCACCACACCUAUUUUUGAGGUUAGGGCUGAAAUAGCUAUUUGCUGUUUGGCCUUUAAUAUUAAGGUAUAAAUGUCCUUAAGGAUUAAAAAAAAAGAAGUGUGUGAUUUAGUGAUGCCUCGAGCCACAAAACAAUAUUGUUUAAAAUCUCAUUUUCAUAAAUUUAUCCUUUUACCCACACUUACUAGUAAUAACUGGGAAGCGGUUUUAAGUGUUAUUAAUUUCCAUUCAUUGAUAGCUUUUAUAUUAGUCAUACUCUUAGACUAUAAACAAGCCAUCUUUGGCCAAUUUACAAAAAUACUUUGUAUCAUUUAUCAUCUUUAUGAGUAAGAUGAGAAGUCAGACAAUUCCUAACAUAGUGGUAAUGAGACUGUAUUGUCAGCUCUAAGCUAUUUGCUUUACAUUCUUCUUCAGUGUCUCAGACGCCAUUUAGGUUGAGCUCCACCUAUUUCUUCCUCACCUUAAAACAGAUAGAUAAGGCUUGGUAGUGACGUCACUUCCAGUGUUAGCGGAAACAAGCCUCAGUGUAAAAACACACAGUUCACCCUUAUCCCCUCUACUAGUGAAAGCACCACCACCAGCAUGUGUGUGUGUCCUGCCUCAUUCCAGUCGGGUCAUUAAACCACUUUCCCCUCCGAGCAGGGACCCUCCAUCCUCACUAAACUAUGGCUAGAGUGUAGUGGCAGUUCAGGGAAUUCCAAUACCCUCAGUGACUUUGACAAACGUGUGUUGCUUCAGAAGGAUCCCUCCAGUUUGCGGACCUAAUGGCACAGGUGCUUCUGACAGUCCAGUUCCAAACUGAGGCUGUAAUACUUCUCUCAGGCUGAUUCAGACGUGCCACCAAUGAAUUCUUCCACUGGCCACGGUAGUAAUAUUACUCAGUGAAGGUUAAUGUAGGUGUCACUUGAAAUCUCUUUGGAAUUCGUUCAGCCAGUGAGGUCUGCUUAACCAGCUCAGGCUUCUAACAUGAACUUAGUUUCUUCAAGAAUGAGUUCUUAAACUUAACUCCUGCCGGAGUGCAGAGCCUGAUUUUACAAGUGUAGACGGUGCUUGAAUUCUAGGCAAUUUCUGUCAUAAUCUUGUACUCGAAGCUUAGCUCUUCAUCCACCCUGCUUGAGGAGUAGGAUUUUUGGAGGUGUCACGGUGUACACAGGUACUAUCUUUAAGUGGGGUCUACAUGGUAAAAUAAAAACAUACAUACUUUCCCCUCUGUUUCCAUGCCACCAUAUACUUAACUAGAUCCUUUUAAAAAGUACCGUAUUUUCAUGAAUAUUUCUCAGAUUUAGCCUGUAGCAUUGAAGAAUACAAUGGAGCAUGAACAAGCAACUUGUUCAGCUGUGACAGUGGCCAUUUACCCUCUGGAAAUCUUACCAGAGGGCUCUUCUCAGUACCAAUUAGCACCAGCAGCAAUUGUGCAUAAUUUUAAAUAUUUCAAGAUGCCUUACAAAUAAUAGUAUCAUUACAUAAUAAGUAAGCAUGUUCAGAAAUUCCACUCUAUGCAAGAAUUUCUCAUCACUCUGAUCUGGGAACUUCCACGGGGGUCUGGAGUGCCAGGCAGAAGCCACUUUCCAGCUUCUGUGCCCGACACUUCACAAAGCAUUUCUACAUCAGCCAGUGGUAACAUGAACAAGUGUUCACUCCUCACACCACAGGAGAAGCUUUUCAAACCAUGAAGGUUUGAUUUCUUGAAAAACUAACUGGCCAUUUACAGAUAUCAAUAACCAUGGCAUUCUCAGCUGGGAUCGUUGAAGCCUCACACCAUGAACUAACAGAUAGUUCUUAGUUGAAAACAUUGAGAGAUGGAUAGAGGCUGGUGGAUAUAACUGGAAUGUCAAAACAUUUCUCCACUUUCAAAGCAUAAAUGCCAUCUUACUACUUGAAUUACUUAUCACUCUCCUUUUACAAGUUUGCCCGUGCUGCUCUAUCUUCUAAACUGUUUCCAGCCUUCUAAAUGCACAAACUGUUUACUUUAAAAAAAAAAAGUGAGUUCCCAUCGUGACUCGGUGGAAACAAGCCUGACUAGCAUCCAUGAGGAUGAGGGUUUGAUCCUGGCCCCACUCAGUGGGUUAAGGAUCCAGCUUUGCCGUGAGCUCUGGUAUAGGUCGCAGAGGCGGCCUGGAUCUGGCGUUGCUGUGGCUGUGGCGUAGACCAGCAGCUGUAGUUCUGACUCGACCCCUACCCUGGGAACCUCCAUAUGCCA
This 4626-nucleotide long non-coding RNA is filed under the name Sus scrofa (pig). RNAcentral describes it as "lncRNA (ENSSSCG00065013037.1)". The record is from RNAcentral. Lineage: Eukaryota; Metazoa; Chordata; Mammalia; Artiodactyla; Suidae.